Molecule: long non-coding RNA, 170 nt
Organism: Xiphophorus hellerii (green swordtail)
Lineage: Eukaryota; Metazoa; Chordata; Actinopteri; Cyprinodontiformes; Poeciliidae
Exons: 3
Source: RefSeq, a predicted model, not a curated record
AAGCAACAGCGACUUGUGUAACCCACAUGUAUAUGUGUGGUACUGUUAGUGGUAUUUUAUUUCUGUAGGAUUUUGUUUUGUUAUUUAAUGUUCCCAGCAAUUUAGUUAUAUUUUCAUUUUGAGUUUUCUUGUCAUACCAGAAACCGCCAGCAGGUGGCUUGUGAGUUACA